UGUUCAGUAGCUCAGCGGUAGAGCAGGUGACUGUUAAUCACUUGGUCGCAGG
RNAcentral lists this transfer RNA (52 nucleotides) under Coraliomargarita sp. CAG:312. It matches the Rfam family "tRNA", at positions 1 to 51 of the family's 71-position model. Rfam says of the family: Transfer RNA (tRNA) molecules are approximately 80 nucleotides in length. Their secondary structure includes four short double-helical elements and three loops (D, anti-codon, and T loops). Further hydrogen bonds mediate the characteristic L-shaped molecular structure. tRNAs have two regions of fundamental functional importance: the anti-codon, which is responsible for specific mRNA codon recognition, and the 3' end, to which the tRNAs corresponding amino acid is attached (by aminoacyl-tRNA synthetases). tRNAs cope with the degeneracy of the genetic code in two manners: having more than one tRNA (with a specific anti-codon) for a particular amino acid; and 'wobble' base-pairing, i.e. permitting non-standard base-pairing at the 3rd anti-codon position. The record is from Rfam by way of RNAcentral. Lineage: Bacteria; Pseudomonadati; Verrucomicrobiota; Opitutia; Puniceicoccales; Coraliomargaritaceae.